UCUGCUUCCCUCCCUGGUCGGCCUUUGGAAACGCGACCUGCGCCGGGACCUGAGCCCUCGUUCUACAAACCGACAGGUGGCUCUUAUGCUGCUUCUGCAACCUCCAGCCUUGGUGGUAGUUUUGGUUCUGCCCCUGGUCGGCCUUUGGAGGGAGUUGACCCAUCAUUCUACGACCCAACCUAUUGGAUGCCGGCUCCUCCGCCUCACUCGUCCAAACUCAUCCAGUCCAGAAAUGGCUACCGGCGAGCAUCAGUAGUCUCUUCCCACACUAGGUACUCCCCAUUCUACCCUAAACCUCCACCACCAAGACAGACUCCAGGAGGGAAGGUCUAAUGAGGUGAACUUUGUUACCUGAUCUUCAGCAUUCUGGAACUGUUUUUGAAAAGUAUUAAUAAAAUAAUUUGACAACAAGAA
Molecule: long non-coding RNA, 414 nt
Organism: Anarrhichthys ocellatus (wolf-eel)
Lineage: Eukaryota; Metazoa; Chordata; Actinopteri; Perciformes; Anarhichadidae
Exons: 2
Source: RefSeq, a predicted model, not a curated record